RNAcentral lists this ribosomal RNA (775 nucleotides) under uncultured bacterium. RNAcentral describes it as "bacterial SSU rRNA". It matches the Rfam family "Bacterial small subunit ribosomal RNA", at positions 28 to 776 of the family's 1533-position model. The record is from RNAcentral.
GACGAACGCUGGCGGCGUGCCUAAUACAUGCAAGUCGAACGCUUUGAUUUUCACCGGAGCUUGCUCCACCGAAAAUCAAAGAGUGGCGGACGGGUGAGUAACACGUGGGCAACCUGCCCAACAGAGGGGGAUAACACUUGGAAACAGGUGCUAAUACCGCAUAAUUUGUUUUUCCGCAUGGAAGAAUAAUAAAAGACGCUUCGGUGUCACUGUUGGAUGGGCCCGCGCUGCAUUAGUUAGUUGGUGGGGUAACGGCCUACCAAGACCAUGAUGCAUAGCCGACCUGAGAGGGUGAUCGGCCACACUGGGACUGAGACACGGCCCAGACUCCUACGGGAGGCAGCAGUAGGGGAUCUUCGGCAAUGGACGAAAGUCUGACCGAGCAACGCCGCGUGAGUGAAGAAGGUUUUCGGAUCGUAAAACUCUGUUGUUAGAGAAGAACAAGUGAGAGAGUUACUGUUCUCACCUUGACGGUAUCUAACCAGAAAGCCACGGCUAACUACGUGCCAGCAGCCGCGGUAAUACGUAGGUGGCAAGCGCUGUCCGGAUUUAUUGGGCGUAAAGCGAGCGCAGGCGGUUUCUUAAGUCUGAUGUGAAAGCCCUCGGCUCAACCGAGGAAGGUCAUUGGAAACUGGGGAACUUGAGUGCAGAAGAGGAGAGUGGAAUUCCAUGUGUAGCGGUGAAAUGCGUAGAUAUAUGGAGGAACACCAGUGGCGAAGGCGACUCUCUGGUCUGUAACUGACGCUGAGGCUCGAAAGCGUGGGGAGCAAACAGG